UUACGCUGGCGGCGCGCAUAACACAUGCAAGUCGAGCGAGGGCUUAUUUCUCGCAAGAGAGAUAAGUUCCUAGCGGCGAACGGGUGAGUAACACGUGGGCAACCUUUCCUAUCGCGGGGGAUAACACCGGGAAACCGAUGCUAAUACCGCAUGUCGUCACCGGUCGCAUGGCUGGUGAAAAAAGCAGCAAUGCACGAUGGGGUGGGCCCGCGGCCUAUCAGCUAGUCGGUGGGGUAACGGCCUACCGAGGCGAUGACGGGUUGCUGGUCUGAGAGGACGGCCAGCCACACGGGGACUGAGACACGGCCCCGACUCCUACGGGAGGCAGCAGUGAGGAAUCUUCCGCAAUGGGCGAAAGCCUGACGGAGCGACGCCGCGUGUGGGAUGAAGUCUUUCGGGAUGUAAACCACUGUCGGAGGGGAAGACAUCGACGGUACCUCCAAGAAAGCCCCGGCUAACUACGUGCCAGCAGCCGCGG
This 478-nucleotide ribosomal RNA is filed under the name uncultured bacterium. Its description in RNAcentral is "bacterial SSU rRNA". It matches the Rfam family "Bacterial small subunit ribosomal RNA", at positions 33 to 520 of the family's 1533-position model. The record is from RNAcentral.